AGUGAACGCUGGCGGUAGGCCUAACACAUGCAAGUCGAACGGCAGCACAGUAAGAGCUUGCUCUUACGGGUGGCGAGUGGCGGACGGGUGAGGAAUACAUCGGAAUCUACUUUUUCGUGGGGGAUAACGUAGGGAAACUUACGCUAAUACCGCAUACGACCUACGGGUGAAAGCAGGGGAUCUUCGGACCUUGCGCGAUUGAAUGAGCCGAUGUCGGAUUAGCUAGUUGGCGGGGUAAAGGCCCACCAAGGCGACGAUCCGUAGCUGGUCUGAGAGGAUGAUCAGCCACACUGGAACUGAGACACGGUCCAGACUCCUACGGGAGGCAGCAGUGGGGAAUAUUGGACAAUGGGCGCAAGCCUGAUCCAGCUAUACCGCAUGGGUGAAGAAGGCCUUCGGGUUGUAAAGCCCUUUUGUUGGGAAAGAAAAGCAGCAGGUUAAUACCCCGCUGUUCUGACGGUACCCAAAGAAUAAGCACCGGCUAACUUCGUG
RNAcentral lists this ribosomal RNA (492 nucleotides) under uncultured bacterium. Its description in RNAcentral is "partial 16S ribosomal RNA". It matches the Rfam family "Bacterial small subunit ribosomal RNA", at positions 29 to 507 of the family's 1533-position model. The record is from RNAcentral.